CCUACGGGUGGCAGCAGUGAGGAAUAUUGGUCAAUGGGCGUAAGCCUGAACCAGCCAAGUCGCGUGAGGGAUGAAGGUUCUAUGGAUCGUAAACCUCUUUUAUAAGGGAAUAAAGUGUGGGACGUGUCCUAUUUUGUAUGUACCUUAUGAAUAAGGAGCGGCUAACUCCGUGCCAGCAGCCGCGGUAAUACGGAGGAUCCGAGCGUUAUCCGGAUUUAUUGGGUUUAAAGGUUGCGUAGGCAGCCUUUUAAGUCAGCGGUGAAAGUCUGUGGCUCAACCAUAGAAUUGCCGUUGGAACUGGGGGGCUUGAGUAUGUUUGAGGCAGGCGGAAUGCGUGGUGUAGCGGUGAAAUGCUUAGAUAUCACGCAGAACUCCGAUUGCGAAGGCAGCCUGCCAAGCCAUGACUGACGCUGAUGCACGAAAGCGUGGGGAUCAAACAGGAGUAGAUACCCAGUAGUC
RNAcentral lists this ribosomal RNA (459 nucleotides) under uncultured bacterium. Its description in RNAcentral is "partial 16S ribosomal RNA". It matches the Rfam family "Bacterial small subunit ribosomal RNA", at positions 338 to 795 of the family's 1533-position model. The record is from RNAcentral.